GCCUCGAGGUCGAGAGGCUCGGACUCAGUGCUGUCAUCAUGGGAAGCAGGGGAUUCGGCGCCGUUCAUCGCGGCAACGAUGAAGGUCGGCUCGGCAGCGUCAGCGAUUACUGCGUCCACCACUGCAUCUGUCCCGUCGUCAUCGUCUGCUAUCCCAAAAGAUAAGGAUGCCGUCGCUGAAGCUGUCCUCACCGUCAAGGAAGGGGAGGAGGACGAUGAGGCUGUGAUCAAGACUGUCCCCAUUGAAGGUGUCCAUGAGAAAGGUUGGAUAUAGGCACAUUGAUUGUGCUUAAGUUACGACAAUGAGAAGGAGGUGUACUGAUCACAUGCCAGAAGAUGUACCAAAGGCAUUAGAUAAAACCUUGCAGGAGUUGCAACUUGACUAUGUGGAUCUGUAUCUAAUCCACUGCCCAGUUAGCAUGGGCAGCGACUGUAUCGGAAGCGACUGUAUCGGAGGCUAUCGGCUCUGGGAGCCAGCGGAGGGAGCGUGGCAGAGACAUUAAAUGGUUACGUCCACAACGGCAAUUCCGUCCAUAAAGCAACUCUUGAAAAGUGCAUUAAGGAGCUCCGCAAGUACGGCAGGUUUCAACAUGCCCUCCAGAUUAAUGUGACAAUAUAUGAUUGGGAUAUAAUUGGGAAAAGCGCUGUUCUCGGUUCGGUGACCGUUCAAGUUGAAAGUGAAGGUCAAACUGGUGCAGUAUGGCAUACAUUGGAUAGCACGCCAGGGCAGGUUUGUCUAGACAUUAGAACAAUAAAACUGUCCGCAAAUUCUCUCAGGUAGCUUUUUGUUGUACUUUUUUUAAAAAUGUUUUGCGUUUAAUUAUAUUGGUUGACUCAUCAAUCUCUCCUUCUCUCUCUCUAAAUAUAGGCACACAUAUGUAAUCCCAAAUUGAACUGUUUUUGGGGUACAUGGCUUUGUACUUGUGCAGAGAAUGUACCCUCAUUUUGGAAAUUUUAUGUGUUUUGUAUCCUGGAAAUUGUUAUAGAACAUUUUUAUAUUGUUUGUACUUUAA
Molecule: RNA transcript, 1012 nt
Organism: Quercus robur (English oak)
Lineage: Eukaryota; Viridiplantae; Streptophyta; Magnoliopsida; Fagales; Fagaceae
Exons: 6
Source: RefSeq, a predicted model, not a curated record